ACUAUACCUAGCCCAAAACCUCCCACUCUUCAGUUUAAAUAACUAAAUUAAUUAAAAUAAAACAUUUAUCCUAAUUAAAGUAUAGGAGAUAGAAAUUCUAAACACGGCGCUAUAGAGAAAGUACCGUAAGGGAAUGAUGAAAGAAAAAAAUCAAAGUACAAAAAAGCAAAGAUUAAUCCUUGUACCUUUUGCAUAAUGAAUUAACGAGCAAAAAACUUAACAAAACGAAUUUUAGCUAAGUAACCCGAAACCAGACGAGCUACUUAUAGACAGUUUACUUGAACCAACUCAUCUAUGUGGCAAAAUAGUGAGAAGAUCUAUAAGUAGAGGUGACAUGCCUAACGAGCCUGGUGAUAGCUGGUUGUCCAGAAAAUGAAUUUUAGUUCAGCUUUAAAGAUACCAAAAACACAAAUAAAUCCCACUGUAUUUUUAAAAGUUAGUCUAAAAAGGUACAGCCUUUUAGAAAUGGGUACAACCUUCACUAGAGAGUAAGAUCUAAAAACACCAUAGUAGGCCUAAAAGCAGCCAUCAAUUAAGAAAGCGUUAAAGCUCAACAAUAAUAAUAACAUUAAUCCCAGCAAUAAUAUAGCCAACUCCUAGAUUUAAUACUGGACUAUUCUAUUAUUAAAUAGAAGCAAUAAUGUUAAUAUGAGUAACAAGAAAUAUUUUCUCCUCGCACAAGUUUAAGUCAGUAACUGAUAAUACCCUGACCGUUAACAGUAAAUAAAAACAAUCCAACAAUAAAUGAUUUAUUACUUAUACUGUUAACCCAACACAGGAGUGCACCUAGGAAAGAUUCAAAGAAGUAAAAGGAACUCGGCAAACACAAACCCCGCCUGUUUACCAAAAACAUCACCUCCAGCAUCCCCAGUAUUGGAGGCACUGCCUGCCCAGUGACUAAACGUUAAACGGCCGCGGUAUUCUGACCGUGCAAAGGUAGCAUAAUCAUUUGUUCUCUAAAUAAGGACUUGUAUGAAUGGCCACACGAGGGUUUUACUGUCUCUUACUUCCAAUCAGUGAAAUUGACCUCCCCGUGAAGAGGCGGGGAUAAAUCAACAAGACGAGAAGACCCUAUGGAGCUUUAACUAACUAAUCCAAGGAAAAUAAAUUCAACCACCAAGGGAUAACAACACUCCUCAUGGAUUAGCAGUUUCGGUUGGGGUGACCUCGGAG
This 1173-nucleotide ribosomal RNA is filed under the name Ovis canadensis (bighorn sheep). RNAcentral's name for it is "16S ribosomal RNA". It matches the Rfam family "Bacterial large subunit ribosomal RNA", at positions 147 to 2290 of the family's 2925-position model. The record is from RNAcentral. Lineage: Eukaryota; Metazoa; Chordata; Mammalia; Artiodactyla; Bovidae.